Molecule: ribosomal RNA, 468 nt
Filed under: uncultured bacterium
Lineage: Bacteria
Description: partial 16S ribosomal RNA
Rfam family: Bacterial small subunit ribosomal RNA
Source: RNAcentral
GACGAACGCUGGCGGCGUGCUUAACACAUGCAAGUCGAACGGAAAGGCCCUGCUUUUGUGGGGUGCUCGAGUGGCGAACGGGUGAGUAACACGUGAGUAACCUGCCCUUGACUUUGGGAUAACUUCAGGAAACUGGGGCUAAUACCGGAUAGGAGCUCCUGCUGCAUGGUGGGGGUUGGAAAGUUUCGGCGGUUGGGGAUGGACUCGCGGCUUAUCAGCUUGUUGGUGGGGUAGUGGCUUACCAAGGCUUUGACGGGUAGCCGGCCUGAGAGGGUGACCGGCCACAUUGGGACUGAGAUACGGCCCAGACUCCUACGGGAGGCAGCAGUGGGGAAUAUUGCACAAUGGGCGGAAGCCUGAUGCAGCAACGCCGCGUGCGGGAUGACGGUCUUCGGGUUGUAAACCGCUUUCGCCUGUGACGAAGCGUGAGUGACGGUAAUGGGUGAAGAAGCACCGGCUAACUACGUG